UACGGGGGGGGCAAGCGUUGUUCGGAAUUACUGGGCGUAAAGGGCUCGUAGGCGGCCAACUAAGUCAGGCGUGAAAUCCCUCGGCUUAACCGGGGAACUGCGUCUGAUACUGGAUGGCUUGAGAUUGGGAGAGGGAUGCGGAAUUCCAGGUGUAGCGGUGAAAUGCGUAGAUAUCUGGAGGAACACCGGUGGCGAAGGCGGGUCUCUGGGCCGUAACUGACGCUGAGGAGCGAAAGCGUGGGGAGCGAACAGG
This 253-nucleotide ribosomal RNA is filed under the name uncultured bacterium. RNAcentral describes it as "partial 16S ribosomal RNA". It matches the Rfam family "Bacterial small subunit ribosomal RNA", at positions 524 to 776 of the family's 1533-position model. The record is from RNAcentral.